This 1051-nucleotide long non-coding RNA is filed under the name Lathyrus oleraceus (garden pea). RNAcentral's name for it is "Pisum sativum (pea) long non-coding RNA (PSAT_LNC022576)". Lineage: Eukaryota; Viridiplantae; Streptophyta; Magnoliopsida; Fabales; Fabaceae. The record is from RNAcentral.
UCUAACUUUGAUUAAGAGGCCCAUAUAACAAGAUCUUACAGGUUGCCUCUAAACACCAAUCAACCAAAAAAUUUGAAGAAAAUGAGGAUAGAAAAGAAAUGCAAUGGAAUGCCAGGAAGAAAAAAAAUAUGUCAAUACCACCUGAUCAUUAUGAACAUCAAUCCAAACGACCAACUUCUAAUUGCCUAAAGUCCAAAUAUCGUCCUUAAUUUCAAAACAUAAGCCCAAACCAAGGACCGAAACAAAACAUCCUAAGCUAAUCCAAACUCAUGAACGAAAUCAACAACAACUUUACCUUUAUCAUGUUUACAGAAUUUUUGCAAUACCAAAACGUAGUAGUUAUCAAAAUCGAACAGAAACAUGGCAAAGCAUUAACAUACUUGCAGGACUAUUUACACAACCACACAAGAAUCCUUCAGCAAAAUGAAACGGCCUAGUAACCAUCAUUAUUUACAUGUAUAAGCGAAUUUCUACUUAUCAAAAUAAUAGCAGCAGUUUGACAACUAAACCGAAGUCAUAACAAAAUAUAUUAACAUAAAACUCAUAGUUCAUAUUGUUACCGUCAGCGAGUCGUUUGUUAUGUCUCGUUCUUGUUGGCGCAAUCGAAACGGGACUCAGCCAUGUCAAGACAACUGUUUCCAAAACCUUGAAUAACACUCACAACCUGCGUACUAAUUUCCAACAGCUGACAACCAAAACGAAAAAUAAAAAAAUCCUUGAAUUCGAAAAUAUCAACAAGAGUUAAUAUGAAGAUGAUGCAUCGUUGUUGUCGCAAAGGAGAUUUGGGCUGGCUAUUCCGAAAGGAGGAACAGUGAUGGCGUCGGCGGUGCGAAAUGGGUUUGGCUUUAAGGGUUUGGCGUUGGUUUUGACGGCGGCGAUGGUUGAGCGAUUUUGGUUGUUUCACGAAAAGAGCUUGAGUGCGAUGACAGUUGUAAGGUGUGGAUGAUUCGGUAGCUGAGGUGAUACGGUUGUUAGGGUUUCUACGGUGAUGAUUUUGACGGUGGCGGAAUCGGCGGAAGCAAUGAAGAACGGUAGUGGAGGCGGACGAAGG